GCGGAAUUAGCUCAUAUGGUAGAGCGCCACCUUCCCAAGGUGGAUGUGGCGGGUUCGAGCCCCGUAUUCCGCU
Molecule: transfer RNA, 73 nt
Filed under: Ruminococcus sp.
Lineage: Bacteria; Bacillati; Bacillota; Clostridia; Eubacteriales; Oscillospiraceae
Description: tRNA-Gly
Rfam family: tRNA
About the family: Transfer RNA (tRNA) molecules are approximately 80 nucleotides in length. Their secondary structure includes four short double-helical elements and three loops (D, anti-codon, and T loops). Further hydrogen bonds mediate the characteristic L-shaped molecular structure. tRNAs have two regions of fundamental functional importance: the anti-codon, which is responsible for specific mRNA codon recognition, and the 3' end, to which the tRNAs corresponding amino acid is attached (by aminoacyl-tRNA synthetases). tRNAs cope with the degeneracy of the genetic code in two manners: having more than one tRNA (with a specific anti-codon) for a particular amino acid; and 'wobble' base-pairing, i.e. permitting non-standard base-pairing at the 3rd anti-codon position.
Source: RNAcentral